GCGCGCUUUCCCGGCUGCGCGCCCGCCCGGUCACGCGCCCUGCUCACCGCGCGCUCGCGUGGGGGCGUCCCCUCUGGCCCCGCGCACGCGCGCUACGUCCCUCAGACUGGCUGCCCCCGAGGGUUCGCCCCCAAAUCCUGUCAGUCCACGGCCUUGAUGGAGCGGCCCCCGUGGGACGACCCUGUUGAUUGUGCUAGCGGAUGUUGUCUCCAUUCUGGAUCUGGGAAAAACUGUGGAGUGAAAGCCGGACCUGUUAGGGUUGGGACCUGAAAGCGGACUUUUUCGCUCUCAGACGGGCCCCAGGAAUUUCAUGUUUAACAGAGGUGUCUUCAAGGAGAUGAAACAAUUCAGAAUGACCUAGGCAAUGGGGUAAUUCCUAAGGAACAAGCUAUUCAUUCAUACAGCAUGGACGAAUAUUAAAUGCAUGUUGCUGAGUGAAAGAAGCCAGAAUGAUAAGGCUACAUCCUGGAAAAGUUUAUAUUCUGGAAAAGGCAAAACUUAUAGAGACAGAAACAAAUCAGCCAGUUGUUGCUGGGGUUUGGGAGAGAAGAAUGUUGACUAUGUGAAGAACAAGGGAUCUUGGGGGGCAUCUAUUCCAUAUGCUACUGUAGGGGUGGAUGCAUGAUACUAUCAUUUGUGGAAAACCAUAGAACUUUACAAAACUAACAGUGAACCUUAAUGUCUGCAAAAUUUUACAAAAUCAACUAGGAGGCUGGGGGAUCCCAGGAUGAAAUACAGGCAAUGACAAAAGAGCCUAACUCUAUUACACAUUUAUAACAUAACCGCACCGAAGAGGACUGGUAUUCUAUAACUGUGGAAAUAAUGGAAACUGGAAAACUGAAGACAAAAGGAACUGUACUUAGCACUAUACUCUAGUUGGUAAAGGCGUUUCUCAAGGGGUACCAGUUAACAAUUCUGAGACUGCUGUACAUGUAUGCAGAGACUGAACAAAUAAGUAAAUGGCUGGUACAUGCUCACUCUCAGGGAGGGAGGCCACAGAUAAACAAGAGGAAGAGGCUCUAAUGUCAUGUGUGGUUGUGGAUUAGAACCAGAAACAUAAAUAUGAACUCAUGUUUAGAUUAAUAUAGAUAUUAAUGGAUUGAUAUAGAAAUAAUGAUGAUAUGGGUAUAUAUACAGGUUAGUAUACAGUCAUAUAUUUCUUAUCCCUAUCCACUGAGAGGGCCUAGAAACAACAAUACUCCAGUAGCAACACACACAUCUCGUGCCCAUAUCUUGAUUUCUUUUGCCAUUUCCUAACAAAAGGAGCCAGGACUUCUUGGAGAAAUGGCUGAUUCUAAGACUGGGUCAGAGAGUAUACCAGAUGACGCUGGCACAUCUUCUACUGCUAGAAAGUAAGGAAAUGCUCAAAAAAUAAAACCACGGAGAUAUUUCAAAGGAACACAGAAGCCAAGUGGAACAGCUCCCAGUGGCCAAAGCUGGAAAAAUUGGGGCAAAAAAAAAAAAAAAAGUAUUAGGUUAUAAUCCAAAAUAUAAAAUAAAUAAUCACCAGCCCGUACUAAUGUGCAUAAAUUAUUGAAUAAAUAAGUAAAUGGGUGAAAAGAGAAAACUCUCUCCCAUACAAAGGAAGCCCAAAUAAUUUAUGUAGAUGAUCGCCCUGCAAUGAGGCAGAGGGCAACUCCCUACCCUGUGUUAAGUGUGGAUGGCACUUAGAGACUUGCUUCUGAAGAGCGCAAUACGGAAAGGAGGGGAGAAGUAACUUGGCAAUGAAGAAACCUGACAAACACCAUCUUCUCCAGGCAGCCAAGGUUAACACCAUCAGUGAUAAGUUACGUUGAUAGCCUGUAUUUUUGAUAUGAUGUGUUGAGAAUGUACUUAGUUUCUGUGGUCUUCUUCCCAAACACCUGACACCAGGCUCACCAGGAGAAAAUGAAUCCAAAUUAAGGGACAUUCUACAGAAUACCUGACCAACACUCCCUCCUAAAAACUGUCAAGGUCAUCAAGGAAUGUCUAGGAAGAAGGAAAGUCUGAGAAGUUGUCUCAGCCCAGAGGAGCCUUAAGAAGCCAUGACAGGGUCUCCAUCUGCCUCCCAGGCUGGAGUACAGCGGUGCCAUCACAGCUCACUGCAUCCACGACCUCCUGAGCUCAAUAGAUCUUCCAGCCUCAGCCUACUGAGUAGGUGGGACUACAGAAGUGCAUCACCAUGCCCGGCUAAUUUUUGUAUUUUUGGUAGAGAUGGGGUUUCGCCAUGUUGCCCAGGCUGGUCUCGAACUCCUGGGCUCAAACAAUGUACCCACCUCGGCCUCCCAAAGUGCUAGAAUUACUAACACUUUUGUAAAGUAAAAAGUUUAAAACAAAAAAUAAGAUUGGUAGAUGGAUAGAGGGUUGGAUAGAUAGCUGCGUGAUAAAGCUGUGUGAUAAAAUAUAAGAAAAUAUUAUUGGUAAGAUCUAGGUGCUGGGCAUAAAAGUGUUUGCUGUAAAAUUUCUCUGACUUUACUGUAUGUUGGAAAAUAUGCACAAUAAAAUGUUGGCAAAAAGAAUAUUAGUAUAAUUCAGAGUUAUUAAUGUUGCUCAUGUUUUUCUUUUUGCACUGUCAUCUUUCUUUUUUCCUUAUUUAUUUAUGGGCAUGAUUAUAUAUAGAAAGUUUUAAAAAAAUUUUUCCUGUUGCAUUUCAUUUCUGACCAUUACUACCAUUCAUUUUUUCAUGAUUAUUACUGAAAAUUAUUUUGUCAUGUGGAAGAUUGUUUUAAAAUUAUACCCUCUGGGUAUCAAAUCAUUAGAUAUGCCACUGCCAAGUAUAACCGAAUGUGUACUACCAAGGGGAUCCCCCAGC
This 2791-nucleotide long non-coding RNA is filed under the name Homo sapiens (human). Its description in RNAcentral is "HSALNT0167588". Lineage: Eukaryota; Metazoa; Chordata; Mammalia; Primates; Hominidae. The record is from RNAcentral.